This 379-nucleotide ribosomal RNA is filed under the name uncultured eukaryote. Its description in RNAcentral is "partial 18S ribosomal RNA". It matches the Rfam family "Eukaryotic small subunit ribosomal RNA", at positions 592 to 976 of the family's 1831-position model. The record is from RNAcentral.
CAAUAGCGUAUAUUUAAGUUGUUGCAGUUAAAAAGCUCGUAGUUGGAUUUCGGAUGGGACUUGCCGGUCCGUCGUUUCGAUGUGCACUGGCCAGUCCUAUCUUGUUGUCGGGGACUAGCUCCUGGGCUUCACUGUCCGGGACUAGGAGCUGACGAGGUUACUUUGAGUAAAUUAGAAUGUUCAAAGCAAGCCUACGCUCUGAAUACAUUAGCAUGGAAUAACACGAUAGGACUCUGGCUUAUCUUGUUGGUCUGUGAGACCAGAGUAAUGAUUAAGAGGGACAGUCGGGGGCAUUCGUAUUUCAUUGUCAGAGGUGAAAUUCUUGAAUUUAUGAAAGACGAACUUCUGCGAAGGCAUUUGUCAAGGAUGUUUUCAUUAA